Phalaenopsis equestris is the source of this 564-nucleotide long non-coding RNA. RefSeq lists it as uncharacterized. The record is from RefSeq and is a predicted model, not a curated record. The transcript has 2 exons. NCBI's taxonomy places the organism in Eukaryota, Viridiplantae, Streptophyta, Magnoliopsida, Asparagales, Orchidaceae.
UACUCCCUGUGAGCUGCAGCUGCUGCCCAUUAAGAAGCACUACCCUGCUCUGAAGCUUCCCGUCUUUUGGAACCAAACGGUUAAGAAUGGAAGAAUUUCCCCAUGGGCACAUAUUGUAGUUGCAUUUCUCCGGUGGCCACCAGUCCAAAGUCGCACAGAUAAAGUUAUAAUCAGUCUUGGCUAUAGUUGUCACCGACUGGAUGGAGACUGUCACUUUCUUCUGCAGGCCAUGAGGAAUGUUUGAGAUGAUGAGAAGAAUGUAGAACAGAAGAGUGUAUCUGCAACUCAUCUCCCUCAUUCUCUUCACUAUAUCAAGUCAAAAAUCUAAAUUCCAGAAUGAAAGGGAAUACAAAGGUUCCUUAAAUAUAGUGUUUAGCUGCGCUUGUUUUUCAGUUUUCUUUAGGGAUAAGAUCAAAAAACACAAGUUCCAAAAAUUGGUCUAACUGAUUACUGAUUCUGGUCGGAGAAUAGGAGUAAUGUUGAACUAGGCGGUGUUCAUCUCUAUCGAAUAGAGCUGCUGAACUAAAAAUUUAAAUAUAUCUAAUGACAUAGUUCAUUGGUGCA